This 498-nucleotide ribosomal RNA is filed under the name uncultured bacterium. RNAcentral's name for it is "partial 16S ribosomal RNA". It matches the Rfam family "Bacterial small subunit ribosomal RNA", at positions 30 to 523 of the family's 1533-position model. The record is from RNAcentral.
AUUGAACGCUGGCGGCAUGCUUUACACAUGCAAGUCGAACGGCAGCGCGGGGCAACCUGGCGGCGAGUGGCGAACGGGUGAGUAAUACAUCGGAACGUACCCAGAAGUGGGGGAUAACGUAGCGAAAGUUACGCUAAUACCGCAUACGUUCCACGGAAGAAAGUGGGGGAUCGCAAGACCCCAUGAUUUUGGAGCGGCCGAUGUCUGAUUAUUGAGUUGGUGAGGUAAAGGCUCACCAAGGCGACGAUCAGUAGCUGGUCUGAGAGGACGACCAGCCACACUGGGACUGAGACACGGCCCAGACUCCUACGGGAGGCAGCAGUGGGGAAUUUUGGACAAUGGGCGCAAGCCUGAUCCAGCAAUGCCGCGUGAGUGAAGAAGGCCUUCGGGUUGUAAAGCUCUUUUGUCAGGGAAGAAACGGCUGAGGUUAAUACCUUUGGCUAAUGACGGUACCUGAAGAAUAAGCACCGGCUAACUACGUGCCAGCCGCCGCAGUAA